CAGUAAGGAAUAUUGGUCAAUGGACGAAAGUCUGAACCAGCCAUGCCGCGUGGAGGAUGAAGGCCCUCUGGGUUGUAAACUUCUUUUAUAUGGGACGAAAAAAGGCCUUUCUAGGUCACCUGACGGUACCAUAUGAAUAAGCACCGGCUAACUCCGUGCCAGCAGCCGCGGUAAUACGGAGGGUGCAAGCGUUAUCCGGAUUCACUGGGUUUAAAGGGAGCGUAGGUGGGUUGGUAAGUCAGUGGUGAAAUCUCCGGGCUUAACUCGGAAACUGCCAUUGAUACUAUCAGUCUUGAAUAUUGUGGAGGUUAGCGGAAUAUGUCAUGUAGCGGUGAAAUGCUUAGAUAUGACAUAGAACACCAAUUGCGAAGGCAGCUGGCUACACAUAUAUUGACACUGAGGCUCGAAAGCGUGGGGAUCAAACAGGAUUAGA
Molecule: ribosomal RNA, 433 nt
Filed under: uncultured bacterium
Lineage: Bacteria
Description: bacterial SSU rRNA
Rfam family: Bacterial small subunit ribosomal RNA
Source: RNAcentral